CAGAACUUGGCUAACCAUACCUGGAGGCAGGGCAGCAGAAGACAUGUACAGUGACUGUAAGUGGAAGUGAAUGACCGGUGACCGCCCCGGCGUGGGACGGGAAGGAGGGCUCCGCGCAGGCUGAGGCACGCUCGCAGGGUUGUCUUGUUGUUCCCUGGAGAUGUCCUUUGUGACCUCUCUCCUUUCCUCUCCCUUUUCCCUGGGCAAGAGGCCCCAGAAGGCAGGGGAAGACGGCAGAACCGGAGGCACGGGCUGAAACGGGGCUGUCUGCGCUCUCCCAGCGGCGACUGGGGACAGAGCAAAAGCCUUGUCUUGCAUCUGCUCUUGAAGGGGGGCUGCUUUCGGGUGCACUCUUGUGCACGUUGAGGCGGAAAGAAAAGCCCUCACGUGCAGAUGAGGAUGCCAGAGAGCACUUCUGCUGUGGUCCCCGCAUCCUCUGGCAGUCCGCACAAACAGUGGCAAUUUGUCUGCUCUCCAGACAUUUAUUGAGUGGAGAGGAGGGCUGAGCACUUGCAGGACAGCAAAGUAGAGAAAUUAAUAGGACACUCAGAGAAUUAAUAAUGUCAUGUGGAACUAUUCCUUAUUUAGUUACCAGAUGAAAAGUGGCUCAAUCCAUUAAACAGCUGUCAAACCGUCCAGUGCCUGGCUGGCCUCGGUGAAAGUAGUUUGUGUGAAAUCCAGUUUUGAGUGUACAGACAUCACUCCCAUUAAGAUAAUUUAUGCAGUUAGUGCAGGCUGGGACUCCUGUUGUCCCUCUCAAGAAUCAGGCUAAUAAUGAAAUAGCACCAAAGACUUUUCUAGCCAGGCAUCAUCUCAUUAGUUCAGCUUUUGGACUUGAGGCCUUUCUAAAAAUGCUGGGAGAUGCCUAUAUUUUAAUGCUAUACAUUUAUUGCACAAAGGAGAGAUGGGAUUCGCAGGUGCACAUUAUGCGUAUGUGUUAGUGAGAGAGACGGCUGGUUUGUCACAUAGGUGUCCGUGCAAUGCAGCAAACCUCCUAAGUUGGUGGAAUCAAAUGAAUCUAGCGUUGUGCGGUACAAAUGAGCCUUUUUUUGGCAAAUGAGCUUUUUUUUGUAAGUAAUUACUUAAAUGGGAUUUUUUGGGAAGUCAAACCAACAGGCUGCAUGAGCGCAGGCUGAACAGGGGAUCUGAGGCGCAGGCGGCAGCUGUAGCUGUACUUCUGUCGUUGCUCAGCUUUUCACCUUGCACGUGCUUACUGUAUUGUAAAGGUAAUUGUAAAAUAAUAACAAUUUCUUCCCUCUCUCUUUCUUCCCCUGUAAAAUACUGAGUGGCAAAGUAGUGUCUGAAGAACAGGCAUUUUUGUGGUUGAAGAUCAAGAAAGGAAGCCUCAUCACUCCCCGUUUAUUGUGGUACUUGCUGCGUGUGAUGAGAGCAAGGGAGGUUUGCACAUUUGGAGCGGCUCCUGCGUGUCUCAACACAUCUUAUCUGGCUCUCCCGAGGAUCAGUGGAACAGGCAGCUGCCGCCUUCAUCCCCCCUCGUGCCGGUACUUCAGCAGUCGCCAACUUUCACCCAGCUUCGAAGGCAGCUUCCUAAGUUUCAGAAAGUUUCACACAGAAGACUUCUCUGUAGCUCCUGAGAGUGUGCUGCCCUUGUUUUUCCUGUGGCUGACUCGCUCCAGCUCAGCUGUCAGUCAAACAGAGCAUCUCCAGGAAGGUAAUGCAGAGGGGACCCGGCUCCCGGCUCAUUAUACGCUUCUGUCAAUAGA
Harpia harpyja (harpy eagle) is the source of this 1724-nucleotide long non-coding RNA. RefSeq lists it as uncharacterized. The record is from RefSeq and is a predicted model, not a curated record. The transcript has 3 exons. Lineage: Eukaryota; Metazoa; Chordata; Aves; Accipitriformes; Accipitridae.